Molecule: small nuclear RNA, 182 nt
Organism: Lepus europaeus (European hare)
Lineage: Eukaryota; Metazoa; Chordata; Mammalia; Lagomorpha; Leporidae
Product: U2 spliceosomal RNA
Exons: 1
Source: RefSeq, a predicted model, not a curated record
AUAACUUCUCAGCCUUUUGGCUAAGAUUAAGUGUAGUAUCUAUUCUUAUCAUUUUAAUAAAUAAUAAAAUAUGUUUUACAAAAAAUAAAUAUAUGAACCCAAUUUUUUUUUUUUUGACAGGCAGAGUGGACAGUGAGAGAGACAGAGAGAAAGGUCUUCCUCUUGCUGUUGGUUCACCCUCC